Long non-coding RNA from Planococcus citri (citrus mealybug), 1330 nucleotides. RefSeq lists it as uncharacterized. The record is from RefSeq and is a predicted model, not a curated record. The transcript has 2 exons. Lineage: Eukaryota; Metazoa; Arthropoda; Insecta; Hemiptera; Pseudococcidae.
AAGGUUGAUCACUAUUACUUAGUAUACCUAGUCGUUGUACAUAUCAACCUAUUUUUAAAAUGCAUUUCACAUACUUCGUGUAUAUUUUUUGCCUUGUUCCAAAUAUUUCUCCGAAACAAAAAAUAUGCAAUUUCGGUGAAAUUAUACACUUAUGGAAUGUUAAUUCAAACUUGAGGAAAAAAAUUGCAGAUUUACAUGAAGAAAUGACAGAAUUGAAAACUCAUAAAAACUUUUCGGAAACUUUAAUCAUGCAGUACAAAACAAAAAUUAAUGGGCUUGAGGCGGAGAUUCGUAGCCUUAAAAACAUAACUACAGGUAUAGAUGCGGUGCUAGUCGUCCGUCAUGAUUUGGAAAGAAUUGACAAAUUAAUAGAUAUGAGUUUAAACUACGCUGACAAAGAAUCAUUAAUAGAAGAACUGAAGAAGUUUCAAGCUCGUAAGCACUUUCUCACAGAAAAUGAAAUUAAAAUGAAUGAAUUAACUGGAAUCGGCUUACCACAUUAUUCCGGUAUACGCCACGUAAGAUGGCUACACUAUCUAACUUUCAGUGAUCAACGUAUGGCUUACAAAAUCAGAACUCUGUUAAACAACAACAAAGUGUCCAUACCGAAAUUUUGCAAAUUAGUAGAUGACAUUUUUUCAAAAGUUAGUGGCAAGAUUCACGAUUACUUGGUUACUAUUUCAACUGAUACAGUUUUACAAGGACUGCGUUACUUUGGAAUUCAGGAGCAUGAAAUCAUUCAAGGUGUUGAAGUGUUAAGGUCAAGGGCGAUAAGAAACGUUACCAUGUUGUUUGAGGGAACUUUAACCACCAUAGACAUUUAAAUUUCUGUAGGUAAGCUCAUUGAUAACAUAUGUAGUAGGUACUUCAGUACUAUACAUUGACAUAAUCAAAGGGUAUGCUUUGAAUCAUUUCAAGACCAGUUUUUUUUUACUGAUUUUUCUAUCGAAAAGUCGGUAAAAUUAUUGUAUGUAAUCAGAUAUCAAAUCAAAACAGGAUUUUCCCUGGAUAUGAUUUAAUCUGACCAAGAUUUGAUCAGAUGUCGCCAGAUGAAAGUUUCGAUCAAAUUACUCGUACGUACCUAGGUACUUGUAAAUAGAUCUUUCGAUUCUAUUCAGAAUUUUGAUUAGAUUUGGUCUGUUCAGAUCAGACCUGAUCAGAUCCACUCUUUGUCUACGAAGAAUAAAGAGAAAAUCGAAUUUUGGAAAGAACGUGCCCCUAUCGUCGUGAAAAUAGAAUUUCAGCUCAGUUGCUCCAGUUAAUUUUUGACGAUUUUUCUGUUUCUUAACGAUCGCAAUCAAUAAAAAGCUUCAUUUUUCCUAACUGAUCA